UACGUAGGGUGCGAGCGUUAAUCGGAAUUACUGGGCGUAAAGCGUGCGCAGGCGGUGAUGUAAGACAGAUGUGAAAUCCCAGGGCUUAACCUUGGAACUGCAUUUGUGACUGCAUCGCUGGAGUGCGGCAGAGGGGGAUGGAAUUCCGCGUGUAGCAGUGAAAUGCGUAGAUAUGCGGAGGAACACCGAUGGCGAAGGCAAUCCCCUGGGCCUGCACUGACGCUCAUGCACGAAAGCGUGGGGAGCAAACAGG
RNAcentral lists this ribosomal RNA (253 nucleotides) under uncultured bacterium. RNAcentral's name for it is "partial 16S ribosomal RNA". It matches the Rfam family "Bacterial small subunit ribosomal RNA", at positions 524 to 776 of the family's 1533-position model. The record is from RNAcentral.